Molecule: microRNA precursor, 194 nt
Filed under: Rosa chinensis
Lineage: Eukaryota; Viridiplantae; Streptophyta; Magnoliopsida; Rosales; Rosaceae
Description: sRNA RchiOBHm_Chr5g0073861
Rfam family: MIR159 microRNA precursor family
Source: Rfam by way of RNAcentral
GAUAGUGCAAGAGAGCUUUCUUCAGUCCACUCAUGGAAGGGCAAAGGGUUUGGAUUAGCUGCCGACUCAUUCACUCAAACACGGUAGAGAAAACGGAAGGAAUUUCUGCCGCGAAUGUGUGAAUGAUUCGGGAGAUAAAUUUCAUCCUUUUCUUUUCUGUGCUUGGACUGAAGGGAGCUCCCUUUACUGUCUUC